Molecule: ribosomal RNA, 450 nt
Filed under: uncultured bacterium
Lineage: Bacteria
Description: partial 16S ribosomal RNA
Rfam family: Bacterial small subunit ribosomal RNA
Source: RNAcentral
GUGGGGAAUAUUGGACAAUGGGCGAAAGCCUGAUCCAGCCAUGCCGCGUGUGUGAAGAAGGUCUUCUGAUUGUAAAGCACUUUAAGUUGGGAGGAAGGGCAGUAAGUUAAUACCUUGCUGUUUUGACGUUACCGACAGAAUAAGCACCGGCUAACUUCGUGCCAGCAGCCGCGGUAAUACGAAGGGUGCAAGCGUUAAUCGGAAUUACUGGGCGUAAAGCGCGCGUAGGUGGUUUUGUAAGUUGGAGGUGAAAUCCCCGGGCUCAACCUGGGAACUGCCUCCAAAACUGCAUGACUAGAGUACGGUAGAGGGUAGGGGAAUUUCCUGUGUAGCGGUGAAAUGCGUAGAUAUAGGAAGGAACACCAGUGGCGAAGGCGACUACCUGGACUGAUACUGACACUGAGGUGCGAAAGCGUGGGGAGCAAACAGGAUUAGAAACCCUGGUAGUCC